AACGAACGCUGGCGGCAUGCCUAACACAUGCCAGUCGAACGAGACCUUCGGGACUAGUGGCGCACGGGUGCGUAACGCGUGGGAACCUGCCCUUAGGUUCGGAAUAACUCCCCGAAAGGGGUGCUAAUACCGGAUAAUGUCUUCGGACCAAAGAUUUAUCGCCUUUGGAUGGGCCCGCGUUGGAUUAGCUAGUUGGUAGGGUAAAAGCAUACCAAGGCGACGAUCCAUAGCUGGUCUGAGAGGAUGGUCAGCCACACUGGGACUGAGACACGGCCCAGACUCCUACGGGAGGCAGCAGUGGGGGAUAGUGGACAAUGGGCGAAAGCCUGAUCCAGCAAGGCCGCUUGAGUGAUGAAGGCCUUAGGGUUGUAAAGCGCUUUUAACCGGGAUGAUAAUGACAGUACCGGGAGAAUAAGCCCCGGCUAACUCCGUG
RNAcentral lists this ribosomal RNA (433 nucleotides) under uncultured bacterium. Its description in RNAcentral is "partial 16S ribosomal RNA". It matches the Rfam family "Bacterial small subunit ribosomal RNA", at positions 29 to 507 of the family's 1533-position model. The record is from RNAcentral.